This 68-nucleotide transfer RNA is filed under the name Castor fiber (Eurasian beaver). Its description in RNAcentral is "tRNA-Thr". The record is from RNAcentral. Lineage: Eukaryota; Metazoa; Chordata; Mammalia; Rodentia; Castoridae.
GUCCUCAUAGUAUAAAUUAUUACCCUGGUCUUGUAAACCAGCAAUGGGGAAACACUCCCCUCAGGACA